This 28-nucleotide non-coding RNA is filed under the name Bombyx mori (domestic silkworm). Lineage: Eukaryota; Metazoa; Arthropoda; Insecta; Lepidoptera; Bombycidae. The record is from RNAcentral.
UACCUGAUGAAGCUAGGGCUAGUGCAAU